Molecule: ribosomal RNA, 418 nt
Filed under: uncultured bacterium
Lineage: Bacteria
Description: bacterial SSU rRNA
Rfam family: Bacterial small subunit ribosomal RNA
Source: RNAcentral
GGGCCCGCACAAGCGGUGGAGCAUGUGGUUUAAUUCGAUGAUACGCGAGGAACCUUACCAGGGCUUAAAUGUAGUGGGACAGGUCUAGAGAUAGACCCUUCUUCGGACUCAUUACAAGGUGCUGCAUGGUUGUCGUCAGCUCGUGCCGUGAGGUGUCAGGUUAAGUCCUAUAACGAGCGCAACCCCUAUCGUUAGUUGCCAGCGGGUAAUGCCGGGAACUCUAGCGAAACUGCCGGUGCAAACCGAGAGGAAGGUGGGGAUGACGUCAAAUCAUCACGGCCCUUACGUCCUGGGCUACACACGUGCUACAAUGGCCGGUACAGAGAGCAGCCACUACGCGAGUAGGAGCGAAUCUAUAAAACCGGUCUCAGUUCAGAUCGUAGGCUGCAACUCGCCUACGUGAAGGAGGAAUCGCUAG